GACGAACGCUGGCGGCGUGCUUAACACAUGCAAGUCGAACGAAGAGCGAUGGAAGCUUGCUUCUAUCAAUCUUAGUGGCGCACGGGUGAGUAACGCGUAAUCAACCUGCCCUUCAGAGGGGGACAACAGUUGGAAACGACUGCUAAUACCGCAUACGAUCUAAUCUCGGCAUCGAGGAUAGAUGAAAGGUGGCCUCUACAUGUAAGCUAUCACUGAAGGAGGGGAUUGCGUCUGAUUAGCUAGUUGGAGGGGUAACGGCCCACCAAGGCGAUGAUCAGUAGCCGGUCUGAGAGGAUGAACGGCCACAUUGGGACUGAGGCACGGCCCAGACUCCUACGGGAGGCAGCAGUGGGGAAUCUUCCGCAAUGGACGAAAGUCUGACGGAGCAACGCCGCGUGAGCGAUGACGGCCUUCGGGUUGUAAAGCUCUGUUAAUCGGGACGAAAGGCCUUCUUGCGAAUAGUGAGAAGGAUUGACGGUACCGGAAGAGAAAGCCACGGCUAACUACGUG
RNAcentral lists this ribosomal RNA (510 nucleotides) under uncultured bacterium. Its description in RNAcentral is "partial 16S ribosomal RNA". It matches the Rfam family "Bacterial small subunit ribosomal RNA", at positions 28 to 507 of the family's 1533-position model. The record is from RNAcentral.